GAUCCUGGCUCAGGAUGAACGCUGGCGGCGUGCUUAACACAUGCAAGUCGAACGGAGCACUUUUACAGAUUUCUUCGGAAUGAAGUUUUAGUGACUGAGUGGCGGACGGGUGAGUAACGCGUGGGUAACCUGCCUCACACAGGGGGGAUAACAGUUGGAAACGGCUGCUAAUACCGCAUAAGCGCACAGUACCGGCAUGGUACAGUGUGAAAACUCCGGUGGUGUGAGAUGGACCCGCGU
RNAcentral lists this ribosomal RNA (240 nucleotides) under uncultured bacterium. RNAcentral's name for it is "partial 16S ribosomal RNA". It matches the Rfam family "Bacterial small subunit ribosomal RNA", at positions 15 to 236 of the family's 1533-position model. The record is from RNAcentral.